Molecule: long non-coding RNA, 809 nt
Organism: Bacillus rossius redtenbacheri
Lineage: Eukaryota; Metazoa; Arthropoda; Insecta; Phasmatodea; Bacillidae
Exons: 4
Source: RefSeq, a predicted model, not a curated record
AUCUGAGCGGUAACCGUAUUGACGCUCGUCACUGACUCACUGAUUCUGUAACGCUUUGAGAUAGCGCCUGCCUGCAGAAUGCCAGUCGCCGCCGCGCCGAUUCAUCAUAUUGCCAUCCGGGGCAGUAAGCGUGGGCGAGGCCAGAAACCGAAGUUUCUAUAACUCGCUAAGUGCAUAGCAAUUCAGGUGCACCCCACACUGGUGAAGAAUCAUUUGAAUCGACGGCGGGGGGGUUGUGGUCCGGCUUUUGACAUGAAUGCGCCAAAGACCGCCACUGCGUACAUACGUACAAAGGUUGUGAGUCCACCUUAAGGCCUGCUUUGCACAAUAAGCCGGAUUGUGCGCGAGGAAACGAAGCUGGUGUAAACACGCGGCUCGGAGGCACUCGGCCCAGCUCGGGCAUGUCCGCUUGGCGGCGGCGGGCUCCGGGAAGCGCGCGCUUGGCGGUUGUGUCGCAGUCCGCCGCCAGAGACCCGCCCGAGCCGCGGCCAUGGAGAACGACUCGGUCGUGCUGCUCAGCUUCCUGCUCUUCGUGGCGAUCCUCGCCGCAGUGUUGCUGGGAGUUCGCUUGUUCUAUUCGGCGCACGGCUUCUAGCGGCUGUACCAAUCAGAGAGAGGGCCGCCAGGACUCCACGAAUCCAGACAACGAGCAGACUCGUUCUCCGCUCCUGUCUCCACGUGGAUUUGACACCAUGCCGAAUACGAUGUUCCAGUUCCUACAGUCAGACCUUUUAAACUUUUAUAGGAAUAAAAUUGUUACAUGUUUUAUAGCAACCUUUUUUACAAUAAAAAGACAACUUUUGUAAUAA